This 169-nucleotide small RNA is filed under the name uncultured Acetatifactor sp. RNAcentral describes it as "Clostridiales-1 RNA". It matches the Rfam family "Clostridiales-1 RNA". Lineage: Bacteria; Bacillati; Bacillota; Clostridia; Lachnospirales; Lachnospiraceae. The record is from RNAcentral.
GAUAUCAGGGUCAAAAGGUCUGAACUCACAUGAGCUUGCUCAUAAGUGGGUGAAAGACCUUGGAACCCGCAAAACAUGAGGAAGUAGCGAUUUACGCAGUAAAUCAGCGGAUUCCGAAUGUUUUAGAAUUACAGGAGCUGCUUUGGCAGCGAAGUAAUUCGUAGAUAUC